Long non-coding RNA from Apis florea (little honeybee), 222 nucleotides. The record is from RefSeq and is a predicted model, not a curated record. NCBI's taxonomy places the organism in Eukaryota, Metazoa, Arthropoda, Insecta, Hymenoptera, Apidae.
GAGAGAGAGAGAGAGAACGAUCGGGCCCGCGCAUUAAUAAUGCACCGGUGGCUUCCGGUCGACGGACACAAAUGGGCCGACGAUCGUCCCAGGUAGCCACGGCAAGCGAUCCGCCUGCAUAUUUCAUUUCGACUCGAACUGGAAUCGAGAGGUCCAUAAGCCGGCCGUUCGACGAUACGUCACCCUUCGAGCAUCCAAGAUCGACCGCCUCCUCUCCAACUU